GGAUAAACGCUGGCGGCGUGCAUGAGACAUGCAAGUCGAACGAACGAGCUUGCUCGUUAGUGGCGAACGGCUGAGUAACGCGUAGGUGACCUGCCCCGAAGUGGGGGAUAACUGCCCGAAAGGGUGGCUAAUACCGCAUGUGGCGACGCUUUCAUUGGCGUCAUCAAAGCCGCGAGGCGCUUCGGGAGGGGCCUGCAUCCGAUUAGCUCGUUGGUGGGGUAAUGGCUCACCAAGGCGACGAUCGGUAGGUGGUCUGAGAGGACGAUCACCCAGACUGGGACUGAGACACGGCCCAGACUCCUACGGGAGGCAGCAGUCGGGAAUUUUGCUCAAUGGGGGAAACCCUGAAGCAGCAACGCCGCGUGCGGGAUGAAGGCCUUCGGGUUGUAAACCGCUUUUACCAGGGACGAUAAUGACGGUACCUGAUGAUAAGUCAC
This 437-nucleotide ribosomal RNA is filed under the name uncultured bacterium. RNAcentral's name for it is "bacterial SSU rRNA". It matches the Rfam family "Bacterial small subunit ribosomal RNA", at positions 27 to 494 of the family's 1533-position model. The record is from RNAcentral.